GGGGGUAUAGCUCAGGGAUAGAGCACGUGGUUAGCAUGCAUGAGGUCCUGCGUUCAACUUCCAGUAUUUCCA
Molecule: transfer RNA, 72 nt
Organism: Gorilla gorilla gorilla (western lowland gorilla)
Lineage: Eukaryota; Metazoa; Chordata; Mammalia; Primates; Hominidae
Rfam family: tRNA
About the family: Transfer RNA (tRNA) molecules are approximately 80 nucleotides in length.
Source: Rfam